UACGGAGGAUGCGAGCGUUAUCCGGAUUUAUUGGGUUUAAAGGGUGCGUAGGUUGUUUUUUAAGUCAGCGGUGAAAGUUUGUGGCUCAACCAUAAAAUUGCCGUUGAAACUGGAAGACUUGAGUGUGUUUGAGGUAAGCGGAAUUCCUAGUGUAGCGGUGAAAUGCAUAGAUAUUAGGAGGAACACCAGUGGCGAAGGCGGCUUACUGGACUGUAACUGACACUGAGGCUCGAAAGCGUGGGGAGCAAAAAGG
This 253-nucleotide ribosomal RNA is filed under the name uncultured Parabacteroides sp. RNAcentral's name for it is "partial 16S ribosomal RNA". It matches the Rfam family "Bacterial small subunit ribosomal RNA", at positions 524 to 776 of the family's 1533-position model. The record is from RNAcentral. Lineage: Bacteria; Pseudomonadati; Bacteroidota; Bacteroidia; Bacteroidales; Tannerellaceae.